Molecule: ribosomal RNA, 433 nt
Filed under: uncultured bacterium
Lineage: Bacteria
Description: partial 16S ribosomal RNA
Rfam family: Bacterial small subunit ribosomal RNA
Source: RNAcentral
AACGAACGCUGGCGGCAUGCCUAACACAUGCAAGUCGAACGAGACCUUCGGGUCUGGUGGCGCACGGGUGCGUAACGCGUGGGAACCUGCCGUUAGGUUCGGAAUAACUCCCCGACAGGGGUGCUAAUACCGGAUAAUGUAUUCGGACAAAAGAUUUAUCGCCUUUGGAUGGGCCCGCGUUGGAUUAGCUAGUUGGUAGGGUAAAAGCCUACCAAGGCGACGAUCCAUAGCUGGUCUGAGAGGAUGAUCAGCCACACUGGGACUGAGACACGGCCCAGACUCCUACGGGAGGCAGCAGUGGGGAAUAUUGGACAAUGGGCGAAAGCCUGAUCCAGCAAUGCCGCGUGAGUGAUGAAGGCCUUAGGGUUGUAAAGCUCUUUUACCCGGGAUGAUAAUGACAGUACCGGGAGAAUAAGCUCCGGCUAACUCCGUG